GCCGUGGGGAACAGAUGGUGAGGACACAGCUCCACGAUGACAAACGGGUCGCUGAGGCCUAGGAAAGCACGAAUUUGGAGAUAAAUCCAGUAACAGAUAACAACCGAAAAUAUCAGUAAGUAGAGAUACUAGAUUUGGAAAAGAAAUGGCAGUAGUAAACACAGCAGAAACUAAAUAGUUCCAACAUUUUAUGAAAACUUUCCCAUCAGAAUCAACACACAAUGCAACUAAUUUGUUACAAUUUAAAAUUUGCCACAAUUGGUUAAAAUAUGCAACAAACACCAGAUGUAAGAAAGACCAAUAAAAUUCAGGAUGCAAAUGUUAUGAAAUCAUUACUUUUCUUCAUUUUUUUUUUACCGUUAGCAUCCAGGGCAAUGAGGUCAGCUGCAUGCAGUAUCUCCACAGUGAGUCUUUGCUCAGGGGCAUCAUAGUAACACUUCACACUGAUACGACCAAAACGACUGUGCUUUAAGAUUCUCUGUAAAGAAAAUGCAUCUGUUAAAGAUUACCAUCUAUAGCACAGAAUACAUAUAACAUUCACAUCAAGUUUAGAACUAAUAACACAUUAGGCAACGUUGAAACUCUACAAUUGCUUUAAGUGGAAAUGUUUCUAACAGGUUGUGCCUCAAAAGCAAGUGAAAUAGCAUUUUUGAGCCCCAUAGAUGUGUAACUGGUGUGAAAAUUGUCUCAAAUUGUAGGUGAUGAAAUGAUGCUACUUUUUGAGAUUGGCCGACCACACAGUGUCCAAAAUUUGUGGCAACCCUGCAUGUAUCUCCCAUGUAUAUAGUGAUAUUUAGUUAUUGGAUAAAUCUUACUUGAGGUCAUGUCGGAAUGAUCAUAUUUACCUUACAUGAACACCACCACCGGUUUUUAUUUUAACCCUGAUUUUCCAGAUACAUGGAUGCCAGUUUAGAAGAAAAUUUAUUUUGUGUGCAUUUGCUGUAAUGUUCAUGAAGUAAAGCUAUAAAGCUUGCCAUGAAACGCUACUCAUUUAGAUAAAUCAUGAAGCUACACGUGAAAAAGGAGGACAAGAAAUAUAAAAUUGCCUUAAGUUUUCAUACCCAGGCAAAAUCACUUGAAUUCCCACAUUAACUUCUAAAUUCUUAGCUCGGUUUUCUCCUUGCAACAAAGCCAAGAACCCACGAGCCAACGUGUGUUAAGAACUCUGAAGCUCGCAUAUACAGCUACGCACGUAACAUAACUAUUAAAGAACUGACUAGCUUAGCAACAUGCUAACAACAACUGUGGGACAUGCUUUUCGUGUACUUGACGUGAGGAAUGAAAUUUGUUUAGCAGCAAACUUUUUUUUAAAGAAGUUAACAAAGUUGCUGCCUAUGAAAGCAGUUCAGAUCAGACAUUUAUGAGGUUCGGUUGGGUUUCAUAACAUGCUGGUUUUGCAGACAUCUGCCCCCGUAGGCAGCAGACAGCAAGUCAGCUUAGCAGGAUUUGAGACACAGUCAGAGGCUGCGAAAUCUUUCACAGUGCAAAGAACGCUUAGUCAAAGAGGAAAUGACUGAUGUAAACUUUUAAUCAUCAGAGGAAGGAAUAGUAUUUGUGAUGUCUUAGCUCCUAAUCAACUCCUCCUCUCUCUGCAGGGCUGGAGCUAAAAGCUGUGGCGGCUCAGCAGGACUCCUACCCACCUGCUGGGAGAUUUUCUCCAGGAAAUACUGUUCGAUCAGCUCAAAGGAGGAGCAUUUGUUCAGACGCAGCUCCUCCUCCAGGGCCUGAUGGGAAGGAAGAGGGAAGGCGGAUGAAGCCAUGCUUACUCAUUUCGUCAGCCACAUUGUUUAAAGACUCCAGCAGACAUGCAGACUCUCGUAACAUGCUCUUGAGACUUGUUAUGCUAAUAGACCAACUAUAUAGUGAAUAACAUGUUCAACCCACGCGCUCGCUCGGCACUUCAUGAGUUUUCAUGUAAAUCUGUGGUGAGUUCCUGCCAGUUCUUCUCUGUUGGAAUAAUGGAUCUCACAUAUUGACAUGCUGCUGGGGACGUCCUAAGUUCUCCACUGAGCUGUGGUCAAAAGCACUGGCGAAAAUCUGACGGUGUCAGGCAUGAUGUAACACCGUGACUGUGAAUGCAAACUGAGAGAAUCCAGACAUGAGGAUCACUGCCCUUUGCUGUCACAGAGUUCUUGUAAUAAACCGCCAGCUGGCAAAACACAUA
Cyprinus carpio (common carp) is the source of this 2164-nucleotide long non-coding RNA. RefSeq lists it as uncharacterized. NCBI's taxonomy places the organism in Eukaryota, Metazoa, Chordata, Actinopteri, Cypriniformes, Cyprinidae. The record is from RefSeq and is a predicted model, not a curated record.